RNAcentral lists this transfer RNA (90 nucleotides) under Candidatus Pelagibacter communis. RNAcentral describes it as "tRNA-Ser". It matches the Rfam family "tRNA". From Rfam's summary of the family: Transfer RNA (tRNA) molecules are approximately 80 nucleotides in length. Their secondary structure includes four short double-helical elements and three loops (D, anti-codon, and T loops). Lineage: Bacteria; Pseudomonadati; Pseudomonadota; Alphaproteobacteria; Candidatus Pelagibacterales; Candidatus Pelagibacteraceae. The record is from RNAcentral.
GGAGAGAUGUGAGAGUGGUUUAAUCAGCACGCUUGGAAAGUGUGUGUACUGUUAAAGGUACCCAGGGUUCGAAUCCCUGUCUCUCCACCA